This 447-nucleotide ribosomal RNA is filed under the name uncultured bacterium. RNAcentral's name for it is "bacterial SSU rRNA". It matches the Rfam family "Bacterial small subunit ribosomal RNA", at positions 29 to 524 of the family's 1533-position model. The record is from RNAcentral.
AACGAACGCUGGCGGCAGGCUUAACACAUGCAAGUCGAACGCCCCGCAAGGGGAGUGGCAGACGGGUGAGUAACACGUGGGAACAUGCCCAAAGGUACGGAAUAUUCUCGGGAAACUGGGAGCAAUACCGUAUGUGCCCGAAAGGGGAAAGAUUUAUCGCCUUUGGAUUGGCCCGCGUUGGAUUAGCUAGUUGGUGGGGUAAAAGCCUACCAAGGCGACGAUCCAUAGCUGGUCUGAGAGGACGACCAGCCACACUGGGACUGAGACACGGCCCAGACUCCUACGGGAGGCAGCAGUGGGGAAUCUUGGACAAUGGGCGCAAGCCUGAUCCAGCCAUGCCGCGUGAGUGAUGAAGGCCCUAGGGUUGUAAAACUCUUUCGUGGGGACGAUAAUGACGGUACCCCAAGAAGAAGCUCCGGCUAACUUCGUGCCAGCCGCCGCGGUAAU